Non-coding RNA from Paramuricea clavata, 1078 nucleotides. NCBI's taxonomy places the organism in Eukaryota, Metazoa, Cnidaria, Anthozoa, Malacalcyonacea, Plexauridae. The record is from the annotation of a GenBank genome assembly.
CGAGUACAUACGAGGAAAAUACGACUAGUAAACUUGUUUUUAGUGUUUGUAGAUUGAAUACAGGCAAAAAGAUCGUCUUCCCUGUCGAAAAACGUGAAAUAGACUGAAACCGGCUAUCUUUAAAACCCGGAACGGGGAAUGGGGGAACGGGGAAUGGAGAAACGGGGAAUGGGAGAACGGGAAGUGGAGGAACGGGGAACAGAGGGAAUGGUGGGGCGAGGGGGAAAGGGAGAAAAUAGGAGACAAGGGGCGGGGGAGGUCUGCCAGAUUCUAUAAACCACAACUUUGUAGUUUGUACAACAUCUACUUUUAGGUAUUCUACCUAGAUAGUUAGAUACAUGACACAAACCAUAGGCUUCACAUAUUUCACAGCAUGGUUUGCUUUCAAAACCCUGUGAGCAUGCACAAAACCUAACUCACUAAAUGCAUCUACUUAAAAUAGUACUAGGUGAUAAACUUACAAUCCUCACAUAGCCUCAAUCAUAACAUGUGGCUAGGCAAAUAUACGAACUACACAGUUAACUUAUACCGUGACGACAUACGACAGUUCCGAGACCGAAAUACAGGACAACAGGGCCUUUUUUAAGGAUUUUCCCGUGGGGGGUAUUUUUUGAAAAGGGAUCUUAGAUAAUAUAUUAGAGGGGGAUAGCAAUGGCCGACGGCCAUGUGUGUGGCCGACAUACUCCCCCACGGAAAAUGUUUUAAAUUUGAACCUUUCAAAUACCAUUUCCUGCUUUAUGAGCGUCUAAAUUUGCUCUAAAAUUUAUGCUAAUUAUACUUGUAUUUGAAAUAAAAGAAGGAAAAAUGCAGAUAAAAUAAAAGAAAUAUUAACAAUAAUUUAUCCAAUACUUAAUAAUAUUAGAGGGGGAUAGCAAUGGCCGGGCCAUGUGUGUGGCCGACAUACUCCCCCACGGAAAAUGUUUUAAAUUUGAACCUUUCAAAUACCAUUUCCUGCUUUAUGAGCGUCUAAAUUUGCCGAAUGAAUAGGGGGAUCUGGAGGCAUUAACUCCCCCAGAAAAUUUUUGAAAUUUCAAGCCCAAAAAUGCCAUUUCCUGCCGUCUGAGCAUCUAAAUUUGCU